This 142-nucleotide small RNA is filed under the name Caenorhabditis elegans. RNAcentral's name for it is "Unclassified non-coding RNA F36F2.12". The record is from RNAcentral. Lineage: Eukaryota; Metazoa; Nematoda; Chromadorea; Rhabditida; Rhabditidae.
GAAUCCUCAUCUUUAUCAUCCUGAUACUUUCUUUCCUUCUUUUUUUCUUUCUUUUCGGUAUCAAGAUCAUCCUCAUCCUCAUCUCUCUUCUCCUUCUUUGACUUUUUCUCUUUUUUGUGCUUCUUGUGCUUCUUCCGUUUUC